RNAcentral lists this ribosomal RNA (119 nucleotides) under Triticum aestivum (bread wheat). The record is from RNAcentral. Lineage: Eukaryota; Viridiplantae; Streptophyta; Magnoliopsida; Poales; Poaceae.
GGAAGUGAUCAUAGCAGCACUAAAGCACCGGAUCCCAUCAGAACUCCGAAGUUAAGCGUGCUUGGGUGAGAGUAGUACUAGGAUGGGUGACCUCCUGGGAAGUCCUCGUGUUGAAUUCC